AACUAACCAACCUAAACGUUGGUAAGAAAAAAAAUCAGAAUGAGACCUUCCUCCAGGAUGGGGCCUUCAGCCCAUAUCACUUACGCCCUAGGCGUUAUCAUCAUGGCAGCAAUGGUUGCUGCGUAUGAACCAUACAGCUUGCCACCACUCCCGUCAUAUUCACCAUCUCCAAAGAUAGAAUACAACACUCCUCCCCUACCAUAUAUCCAUAGUUCCUCACCACCACCACCACUAUACUAUUCUCCAUCACCAAAGGUUGACUACAAAUCACCUCCUCCACCAUAUGUCUACAGUUCCCCACCACCUCCUUACUAUUCCCCAUCACCUAAAGUUGACUACAAAUCUUCUCCACCACCAUAUGUCUACAGUUCUCCACCACCACCACCAUACUAUUCACCAUCUCCUAAGGUAGAAUACAAGUCUCCUCCACCACCAUAUGUUUACAGCUCCCCACCACCACCACCAUACUACUCACCAUCUCCUAAAGUUGAGUACAAGUCUCCUCCACCACCAUAUGUAUACAGUUCCCCACCACCACCAUACUAUUCACCAUCUCCUAAGGUUGAAUACAAGUCUCCUCCACCACCAUAUGUUUACAGCUCCCCACCACCACCACCAUACUACUCACCAUCUCCUAAAGUUGAGUACAAGUCUCCUCCUCCACCGUAUGUAUACAGUUCCCCACCACCACCACCAUACUACUCGCCAUCUCCCAAGGUUGAAUACAAAUCUCCUCCACCACCAUAUGUUUACAGUUCUCCACCACCACCUCCAUACUACUCGCCAUCACCAAAGGUUGACUACAAAUCUCCUCCACCACCAUAUGUCUACAGUUCUCCACCACCACCAACAUAUUAUUCACCAUCUCCUAAGGUUGAGUACAAGUCUCCUCCACCACCGUAUAUCUACAGCUCUCCACCACCACCAUAUUAUUCCCCAUCUCCUAAGGUUGUGUACAAGUCUCCUCCUCCGCCUUAUGUCUACAACUCACCACCACCACCAUACUAUUCUCCAUCUCCCAAGGUAGAUUACAAGUCUCCUCCACCACCAUAUGUUUACAGCUCCCCACCACCACCACCAUACUACUCACCAUCUCCUAAAGUUGAGUACAAGUCUCCUCCUCCACCGUAUGUAUACAGUUCUCCUCCACCACCAUAUUAUUCUCCAUCUCCUAAGGUUGUAUACAAAUCUCCUCCACCACCGUAUGUCUACAGUUCUCCACCACCACCAUAUUAUUCACCUUCUCCUAAGGUACACUACAAGUCUCCUCCACCACCGUAUGUUUACAGUUCUCCACCACCACCAUACUACUCUCCUUCUCCAAAGGUACAUUACAAAUCCCCUCCACCACCAUAUGUCUACAGCUCUCCACCACCACCAUAUUAUUCACCAUCCCCUAAAGUUCAUUACAAAUCUCCACCACACCCGCAUGUAUGUGUCUGCCCACCACCUCCUCCAUGUUAUGCUCCUUCACCAAAAGUAACAUACAAAUCUCCUCCACCACCAUAUGUUUACAGUUCUCCACCACCACCAUACUACUCACCUUCGCCUAAGGUGUAUUACAAGUCUCCUCCACCACCAUAUGUUUACAGCUCACCACCACCACCACCAUACUACUCACCAUCUCCUAAGGUUGAAUACAAGUCUCCUCCACCACCAUAUGUUUACAGCUCACCACCACCACCAUACUACUCACCUUCCCCUAAGGUGUACUACAAGUCUCCUCCACCACCAUAUGUCUACAACUCUCCACCCCCACCACCAUACUACUCUCCAUCCCCUAAAGUAGACUACAAGUCUCCUCCACCUCCAUAUGUCUACAGUUCUCCACCACCACCUUAUUAUUCUCCUUCUCCAAAAGUUGAGUACAAAUCUCCACCACCACCAGCUACAUAUUACUGAAAACCAGUAAAUGCGACUCUUAAAUGAGCUAUUGAAUGUUAUGUGAUUUCAUAUUUCAUUUCUUGUUAUAACAUGUAUGCUAUCAAUUUUAAUUUUCUUGGGAAUGUCUUAAUAAAUUGGUUAUAAUUCCUUCAUAUGGUUUUGUGUGUUUUCUGUUAUUAACUUUCUGCAAAGAUUGCUUGUGGUCUAUUUGUAGUCAUUUGCAAAUUGCGAUUAUGAAUUGCUUAUUCUUGACAUGGUAGUUUUGAACAACUACGUAAUCCUGGUUACAUAAGUUUUGUAUAUGGAUUGCAAAGAUUUUUUGAAAUUCUAUUGUAGUCUUGUUCGGAAACAUGAUUA
RNAcentral lists this long non-coding RNA (2241 nucleotides) under Brassica napus (rape). RNAcentral's name for it is "long non-coding RNA (BNAP_LNC023770)". Lineage: Eukaryota; Viridiplantae; Streptophyta; Magnoliopsida; Brassicales; Brassicaceae. The record is from RNAcentral.